RNAcentral lists this ribosomal RNA (440 nucleotides) under uncultured bacterium. RNAcentral describes it as "partial 16S ribosomal RNA". It matches the Rfam family "Bacterial small subunit ribosomal RNA", at positions 338 to 795 of the family's 1533-position model. The record is from RNAcentral.
CCUACGGGGGGCAGCAGUGGGGAAUAUUGCACAAUGGGGGAAACCCUGAUGCAGCGACGCCGCGUGAGUGAGGAAGUAUUUCGGUAUGUAAAGCUCUAUCAGCAGGGAAGAAAAUGACGGUACCUGACUAAGAAGCCCCGGCUAACUACGUGCCAGCAGCCGCGGUAAUACGUAGGGGGCAAGCGUUAUCCGGAUUUACUGGGUGUAAAGGGAGCGUAGACGGAAUUGCAAGUCUGAUGUGAAAAUCCGGGGCCCAACCCCGGAAGUGCAUUGGAAACUGUAUUUCUAGAGUGUCGGAGAGGCAAGUGGAAUUCCUGGUGUAGCGGUGAAAUGCGUAGAUAUAAGGAAGAACACCAGUGGCGAAGGCGGAUGACUGGACGGCAACUGACGGUGAGGCGCGAAAGCGUGGGGAGCAAACAGGAUUAGAUACCCGGGUAGUC